GUAUCGUCGGCAGCGUCAGAUGUGUAUAAGAGACAGGUGGUAGAAGAGCGUUGUAUGCGGGUUGAAGCCGAAGAGUGAUCUGAGGUGGACUGCAUACAAGUGACCAUGCAGGCAUGAGUAGCGAAAAACCGGAUGAGAAUUCCGGUCACCGAAAACCUAAGGUUUCCCGGGGAAGGUUCGUCCGCCCGGGGUUAGUCGGAACCUAAGGCGAGGCCGAAAGGCGUAGUCGAUGGAGGACAGGUUAAUAUUCCUGUACCACCUUGCUUGAGUGAUGGAGGGACGCAGUAAGUCAGGCGAGCCAACUGCUGAAUAUGUUGGUCGAAUCCCGUAGGGCGUGUCAUAGGCAAAUCCGUGACACAUCAGCCUGAGAGGCGUAAGGUAUCCGGGCGCAAGUCUGGAGAAUUCGCUGUGACUACACUGACGAGAAAAGCUUCUAAACGUUGACAGCAGGGUGUCCGUACCGUAAACCGACACAGGUAGGUGAGGCGAGUAGCCUAAGGUGCGCGAGAGAAACCAACGUUAAGGAACUCGGCAAAUCAGCCCCGUAACUUCGGAAUAAGGGGUGCCGUUUCAGGUGGAGGGAUUUACUCCCCGAGCCCGGGACGGUUGCAAUAAAGAGGCCGGUGCGACUGUUUAACAAAAACAUAGCUCUAUGCCAACUCGUAAGAGGAUGUAUAUGGAGUGACACGUGACCAAUGCCAAAAGGUCAAUGGGAGAGGUUAGCGCAAGCGAAGCUUCGAUCUGAAGCCCUGGUGAAUGUCGGCCGUAACUAUAACGGUCCUAAGGUAGCGAAAUUCCUUGUCGGGUAAGUUCCGACCUGCACGAAUCGUGUAACGAUGCCGGCACUGUCUCAACGUGGAUCUCGGCGAAGUUGUAAUUCCGGUGAAAAUGCCGGAUACCUGCGGAAGGACGGAAAGACCCCAUGAACCUUUACUGUAAUCUGAUAUUGGUAUUUGAUUGCUCUUGUGUAGCAUAGGUGGGAGGCUGUGAAGCCGCUACGCCAGUACCGGUGGAGCCACAGGUGAAAUACCACCCUGGUGUAAUUAGAUAUCUAACGGAUGCCCGUGAAUCCGGACUCCGGACCGUGUCAGAGGGUCAGUUUGACUGGGGCGGUUUCCUCCUAAAUUGUAACGGAGGAGCCCGAAGGUACACUCAGCACGGUUGGCAAUCGUGUGUAGAGCGUAAGGGUAGAAGUGUGCUUUACUGUAAGACCGACAGGUCGAGCAGUUGCGAAAGCAGGGCCUAGUGAUCCAGCGAUGGAAUGUGGAAUCGUCGUUGCUCAACGGAUAAAAGGUACUCUGGGGAUAACAGGCUGAUAGCGCCCAAGCGUCCAUAGCGACGGCGCUGUUUGGCACCUCGAUGUCGACUCAUCACAUCCUGGGGCUGUAGAAGGUCCCAAGGGUUCGGCUGUUCGCCGAUUAAAGAGGUACGCG
RNAcentral lists this ribosomal RNA (1433 nucleotides) under human gut metagenome. RNAcentral's name for it is "bacterial LSU rRNA". It matches the Rfam family "Bacterial large subunit ribosomal RNA", at positions 1187 to 2602 of the family's 2925-position model. The record is from RNAcentral.